RNAcentral lists this ribosomal RNA (492 nucleotides) under uncultured bacterium. Its description in RNAcentral is "partial 16S ribosomal RNA". It matches the Rfam family "Bacterial small subunit ribosomal RNA", at positions 29 to 507 of the family's 1533-position model. The record is from RNAcentral.
AGUGAACGCUGGCGGUAGGCCUAACACAUGCAAGUCGAACGGCAGCACAGUAAGAGCUUGCUCUUACGGGUGGCGAGUGGCGGACGGGUGAGGAAUACAUCGGAAUCUACUUUUUCGUGGGGGAUAACGUAGGGAAACUUACGCUAAUACCGCAUACGACCUACGGGUGAAAGCAGGGGAUCUUCGGACCUUGCGCGAUUGAAUGAGCCGAUGUCGGAUUAGCUAGUCGGCGGGGUAAAGGCCCACCAAGGUGACGAUCCGUAGCUGGUCUGAGAGGAUGAUCAGCCACACUGGAACUGAGACACGGUCCAGACUCCUACGGGAGGCAGCAGCGGGGAAUAUUGGACAAUGGGCGCAAGCCUGAUCCAGCCAUACCGCGUGGGUGAAGAAGGCCUUCGGGUUGUAAAGCCCUUUUGUUGGGAAAGAAAAGCAGCAGGUUAAUACCCCGCUGUUCUGACGGUACCCAAAGAAUAAGCACCGGCUAACUUCGUG